RNAcentral lists this ribosomal RNA (108 nucleotides) under Propithecus coquereli (Coquerel's sifaka). Lineage: Eukaryota; Metazoa; Chordata; Mammalia; Primates; Indriidae. The record is from RNAcentral.
AUUCAUGGCCACACCACCCUGAACCUGCCGAUCUCAUCUGAUCUCGUGAAGCUAAGCAGGGCUGGGCCUGGUUAGUACUUGGAUGAGAGGAUCCCAGGUUAAUGAAGC